AAGAAUAUAGUUAAUUAUAACAUUUGAUCUGCAAUCAAAAAGUAUUGUACAGCAAUUUUUCUUA
This 64-nucleotide transfer RNA is filed under the name Nepiomorpha sp. NespEL. RNAcentral describes it as "tRNA-Ala". It matches the Rfam family "tRNA". From Rfam's summary of the family: Transfer RNA (tRNA) molecules are approximately 80 nucleotides in length. Their secondary structure includes four short double-helical elements and three loops (D, anti-codon, and T loops). Lineage: Eukaryota; Metazoa; Arthropoda; Insecta; Psocodea; Elipsocidae. The record is from RNAcentral.